AACGAACGCUGGCGGCAGGCUUAACACAUGCAAGUCGAACGGUUGUAGCAAUACAGCAGUGGCAGACGGGUGAGUAACACGUGGGAACCUUCCUAGGGGUACGGAACAACUCAGGGAAACUUGAGCUAAUACCGUAUACGUCCGCGAGGAGAAAGAUUUAUCGCCCUUAGACGGGCCCGCGUAGGAUUAGGUAGUUGGUGGGGUAAUGGCCUACCAAGCCUACGAUCCUUAGCUGAUCUGAGAGGAUGAUCAGCCACACUGGGACUGAGACACGGCCCAGACUCCUACGGGAGGCAGCAGUGGGGAAUCUUGGACAAUGGGCGCAAGCC
RNAcentral lists this ribosomal RNA (329 nucleotides) under uncultured bacterium. Its description in RNAcentral is "bacterial SSU rRNA". It matches the Rfam family "Bacterial small subunit ribosomal RNA", at positions 29 to 383 of the family's 1533-position model. The record is from RNAcentral.